Unclassified non-coding RNA from Macaca fascicularis (crab-eating macaque), 154 nucleotides. It matches the Rfam family "Metazoan signal recognition particle RNA". From Rfam's summary of the family: The signal recognition particle (SRP) is a universally conserved ribonucleoprotein. It is involved in the co-translational targeting of proteins to membranes. Lineage: Eukaryota; Metazoa; Chordata; Mammalia; Primates; Cercopithecidae. The record is from Ensembl.
GCCGGGUGUGGUGGCGCACACCUGUAAUCCCAGCUACUUGGAAGGCUGAGGCAGGAGAAUCGCUUGAACCUGGGAGGCGGAGGUUGCAGUGAGCUGAGAUCGAAAUCGUGCCACUGCACUCCAGCCUGGGCAACAGAGUGAGACUCUGUCUCAA